CUGGAGGGCGGCUCAGUGGGUAAGAGCACUGGAUGCUCUUCCAGAGGACCUGGGUUCAAGUCCCAGCAUCCACA
Non-coding RNA from Neotoma lepida (desert woodrat), 74 nucleotides. The record is from Rfam. Lineage: Eukaryota; Metazoa; Chordata; Mammalia; Rodentia; Cricetidae.